This 253-nucleotide ribosomal RNA is filed under the name uncultured bacterium. RNAcentral's name for it is "partial 16S ribosomal RNA". It matches the Rfam family "Bacterial small subunit ribosomal RNA", at positions 524 to 776 of the family's 1533-position model. The record is from RNAcentral.
GACGUAGGGGGCCAGCGUUGUUCGGAAUUACUGGGCGUAAAGGGUUCGUAGGCGGUGUGGCAAGUCGGGAGUGAAAUCUCUGGGCUCAACUCAGAGACUGCUUCCGAAACUGCUGUGCUGGAGUGUGGGAGAGGCGCGUGGAAUUGCAGGUGUAGCGGUGAAAUGCGUAGAUAUCUGCAGGAACACCCGUGGCGAAAGCGGCGCGCUGGACCACUACUGACGCUGAGGAACGAAAGUGUGGGGAGCAAACAGG